UGCAGAAAGGUCAACAACCUGUAAAAUACAUCCUCUUGUGAUCAUAUACCAAAAACGAAACAGAUACAACUUCUUUCGCCAUUUUAAAUACCAGAUAAAAUAAAGUUCUGAAAGAGUGAUUGGCAAUGGAAAAACUAGGAGAAGCAAAAGCUAGCCGCUUGGUUUUUGUGGUGUACCCAUUUCAGGGCCACAUAAAUCGUAUGCUACAACUGGCCACAUUCCUUCACUCAAAAGGUUUCUCAAUCACCAUCAUGCAUCCCCAGUUCAACUCUCCUAAUCCCUCAUAUCAUCCUGAAUUCACUUUUAUACCCGUAACCGAUAACUUAUCCGAAAGCAAACUCCUGCCAGGGGAUUUGUUGGGCGACAUUAAGGUCCUUAACAAGAUUUGUCAACUGCCGUUUGAGCUAUGCAUGAAGAAAAUGUUAGAAAAAGAGGAUAGAGAUAACCCGAUUUCAUGUGUUAUUUAUGACGUACUUAUGCACUGUGCUCAAACUGUUGCUAAUCGUCUGAAGCUGCCGGGGAUUGCUCUUCGGACUAGUGCUGCUGCUACCAUAUUAUCCUAUUUUGCUGUCUUUCCUAAUCCACUUGAACAAGGCUUUGGUUCUCUUCUAGAUUCCAUGGCUGAAGAAU
RNAcentral lists this unclassified non-coding RNA (630 nucleotides) under Hevea brasiliensis (rubber tree). The record is from RNAcentral. Lineage: Eukaryota; Viridiplantae; Streptophyta; Magnoliopsida; Malpighiales; Euphorbiaceae.